RNAcentral lists this ribosomal RNA (468 nucleotides) under uncultured bacterium. RNAcentral's name for it is "partial 16S ribosomal RNA". It matches the Rfam family "Bacterial small subunit ribosomal RNA", at positions 28 to 507 of the family's 1533-position model. The record is from RNAcentral.
GACGAACGCUGGCGGCGUGCUUAACACAUGCAAGUCGAACGGAAAGGCCCUGCUUUUGUGGGGUGCUCGAGUGGCGAACGGGUGAGUAACACGUGAGUAACCUGCCCUUGACUUUGGGAUAACUUCAGGAAACUGGGGCUAAUACCGGAUAGGAGCUCCUGCUGCAUGGUGGGGGUUGGAAAGUUUCGGCGGGUGGGGAUGGACUCGCGGCUUAUCAGCUUGUUGGUGGGGUAGUGGCUUACCAAGGCUUUGACGGGUAGCCGGCCUGUGAGGGUGACCGGCCACAUUGGGACUGAGAUACGGACCAGACUCCUACGGGAGGCAGCAGUGGGGAAUAUUGCACAAUGGGCGGAAGCCUGAUGCAGCAACGCCGCGUGCGGGAUGACGGCCUUCGGGUUGUAAACCGCUUUCGCCUGUGACGAAGCGUGAGUGACGGUAAUGGGUAAAGAAGCACCGGCUAACUACGUG